Molecule: ribosomal RNA, 256 nt
Filed under: uncultured archaeon
Lineage: Archaea
Description: partial 16S ribosomal RNA
Rfam family: Archaeal small subunit ribosomal RNA
Source: RNAcentral
CGGUGCUUCUUCUUCGGAAGAUGUAACCCGGCGGACGGCUCAGUAACACGUGGAUAACUUGCCCUUGGGUCCGGGAUAACCCCUGAGAAAUUGGGGACAAUACCGGAUAGGGCAUCGAUUGCUGGAAUGCGCGAUGUCCAAAAGCUGAGGCGCCCAAGGAUAGGUCUGCGGCCGAUUAGGUUGUUGUUGAUGUAAUGGAUCAACAAGCCUGCAAUCGGUACGGGUUGUGAGAGCAAGAACCCCGGAAAUGGGUUUU